AUGACGCCGCUGCCAAUAGAUGCGCUCCGCGGGCGCCCCUGUCCCCCGCCCCACCCCACCCCCACCCCCACCCCCACCCCGAGGGGGAGGGGAAGAAACGGGCGCGGGCGGCGCGGCGGGCCCCGGGGCGCAGCGCGGGCGCGGGCCCGGGGCGGCGGGGGGCUCCGGGCGGGGGCUCCGGGCGCGGGCCCCGGGCGCGGCGGCGCGGAUCGCGGCACCUGGCUGCAGCCCUCCGCCCGCCGGGUCACCUGGUCGGGCCGCGUCGGGUCCCGCGGGCUCCGGCCGGGCCCUCCCCCCGCGCCGCGGGUCCGCGCAAACCCCGGGGCCGGCGCGGCGUCUGGGCGCGGGGCAGCGACGGCGGGAGGCCCGGCGGCCCCGGGCUGCGGCGCGUCCCCUCCCCUCGUCCACCUUCCCCCCGCCGCGGCGGCCGAGGAGGGGCGGGGGCGGGGGCGGGGGCCGGGCCGGGCCGGGCGGAGCGCGCGGGGGCGGGGCGGGGCGCGGCGGGCGGGGGGCGGCUCCGGCGGGCGGGGGGGCGGGGGUCGGCGCCUGCGGGCGGGGCAGCCCCGCGGUUCAGCAGGUGCGGCCGGGCGGGGGGCGGGGGGGCGCGGCGGGACCCCGAGCGCGGGCGGCCCGGGCCCCGGAGGGCGAGCGGGGCGGGCGGCGGAGGGUGCGGCCCGGGCCCGGCCGAGGGCCCCGGAGCUCCCGCAGCGCCCCCUCCCCGCCCCCCCCCCCACCCCCUCCCCGGGGUCGGGACUGUCGUCACUUUCCGAGGGGAUCCCCGUUCCCGAAGGCUUGGCCGGAGCCUCUGCGCCGAAGGAACGAGAGAGUUGCCCUGGGUCAGCCCUCCAGCUCCCCGAGGCGGGAUGCGGAAAACAAAAUGCAAGGGAGCAAGGCGGUGGAACGAGGCCCACUCCUGGACUUCAGAGAAUUUACAGGAAGGAGUGCCCAUUCAGGCUGAACGCAGAAACGGUGGUACCUACAAAUUCCUGUUGA
RNAcentral lists this long non-coding RNA (993 nucleotides) under Canis lupus familiaris (dog). RNAcentral describes it as "lncRNA (ENSCAFG00030006598.1)". Lineage: Eukaryota; Metazoa; Chordata; Mammalia; Carnivora; Canidae. The record is from RNAcentral.